GGCUGGUCCGAGUGCAGUGGUGUUUACAACUAAUUGAUCACAACCAGUUACAGAUUUCUUUGUUCCUUCUCCACUCCCACUGCUUCACUUGCCUAGCCUUUA
This 102-nucleotide Y RNA is filed under the name Saimiri boliviensis boliviensis (Bolivian squirrel monkey). Its description in RNAcentral is "Y RNA (ENSSBOG00000005739.1)". It matches the Rfam family "Y RNA". Rfam says of the family: Y RNAs are components of the Ro ribonucleoprotein particle (Ro RNP), in association with Ro60 and La proteins. The Y RNAs and Ro60 and La proteins are well conserved, but the function of the Ro RNP is not known. Lineage: Eukaryota; Metazoa; Chordata; Mammalia; Primates; Cebidae. The record is from Rfam by way of RNAcentral.